GCUGGGCACAGUGGUGUGUGCCUGUAAUCCCAGUGGCUCGGGAGGCUGAAACAGGAGGAUCGCAAGUUCAAAGGCAGCCUCAGUAAUGGUGCAGUGCUAAGUAACUCAGAGAGACCAUGUCUCUA
This 125-nucleotide small RNA is filed under the name Marmota monax (woodchuck). Lineage: Eukaryota; Metazoa; Chordata; Mammalia; Rodentia; Sciuridae. The record is from RNAcentral.